UACGGGGGGGGCAAGCGUUGUUCGGAAUUACUGGGCGUAAAGGGCGCGUAGGCGGUUUGCUAAGUUGGAUGUGAAAACUCUGGGCUUAACCCAGAGCCUGCAUCCAAAACUGGCAAACUUGAGUACUGGAGGGGAAAGCGGAGUUCCUGGUGUAGCGGUGAAAUGCGUAGAUAUCUGGAGGAACACCGGUGGCGAAGGCGGCAUCCUGGACCAACACUGACACUGAGGAGCGAAAGCCAGGGGAGCAAACGGG
Molecule: ribosomal RNA, 253 nt
Filed under: uncultured bacterium
Lineage: Bacteria
Description: partial 16S ribosomal RNA
Rfam family: Bacterial small subunit ribosomal RNA
Source: RNAcentral